This 997-nucleotide ribosomal RNA is filed under the name uncultured Lysobacterales bacterium. Its description in RNAcentral is "bacterial SSU rRNA". It matches the Rfam family "Bacterial small subunit ribosomal RNA", at positions 9 to 994 of the family's 1533-position model. Lineage: Bacteria; Pseudomonadati; Pseudomonadota; Gammaproteobacteria; Lysobacterales. The record is from RNAcentral.
GAGUUUGAUCGUGGCUCAGAGUGAACGCUGGCGGUAGGCCUAACACAUGCAAGUCGAACGGUAACAGGUCUUUCGGGAUGCUGACGAGUGGCGGACGGGUGAGGAAUACAUCGGAAUCUGCUCAGUCGUGGGGGAUAACGCAUGGAAACGUGCGCUAAUACCGCAUACGACCUUCGGGUGAAAGCAGGGGAAUCUUUAGGGAUCCUUGCGCGAUUGAAUGAGCCGAUGUCGGAUUAGCUAGUUGGUAGGGUAAAAGCCUACCAAGGCGACGAUCCGUAGCUGGUCUGAGAGGAUGAUCAGCCACACUGGGACUGAGACACGGCCCAGACUCCUGCGGGAGGCAGCAGUGGGGAAUAUUGGACAAUGGGGGCAACCCUGAUCCAGCCAUACCGCGUGGGUGAAGAAGGCCUUCUGGGUUGUAAAGCCCUUUUGUUGGGGAAGAAAAACAACGGGUUAAUACCCCGUUGGUAUGACGGUACCCAAAGAAUAAGCACCGGCUAACUUCGUGCCAGCAGCCGCGGUAAUACGAAGGGUGCAAGCGUUACUCGGAAUUACUGGGCGUAAAGGGUGCGUAGGUGGUUGCGCCAGUCUGUCGUGAAAGCCCUGGGCUUAACCUGGGAAUGGCGAUGGAAACUGUGCAACUAGAGUGUGACAGAGGGUGGUGGAAUUCCUGGUGUAGCAGUGAAAUGCGUAGAGAUCAGGAGGAACAUUCGUGGCGAAGGCGGCCACCUGGGUCAACACUGACACUGAGGCACGAAAGCGUGGGGAGCAAACAGGAUUAGAUACCCUGGUAGUCCACGCCCUAAACGAUGCGAACUGGAUGUUGGGUCCAACUUGGGAUUCAGUAUCGAAGCUAACGCGUUAAGUUCGCCGCCUGGGGAGUACGGUCGCAAGACUGAAACUCAAAGGAAUUGACGGGGGCCCGCACAAGCGGUGGAGUAUGUGGUUUAAUUCGAUGCAACGCGCAGAACNCUUACCUGGCCUUGACAUGCACGGA